GAUGAACGCUGGCGGCGUGCCUAAUACAUGCAAGUCGAGCGAACAGACGAGUAGCUUGCUCCUCUGACGUUAGCGGCGGACGGGUGAGUAACACGUGGAUAACCUACCUAUAAGACUGGGAUAACUUCGGGAAACCGGAGCUAAUACCGGAUAAUAUAUUGAACCGCAUGGUUCAAUAUUGAAAGACGGUUUUGCUGUCACUUAUAGAUGGAUCCGCGCCGCAUUAGCUAGUUGGUAAGGUAACGGCUUACCAAGGCAACGAUGCGUAGCCGACCUGAGAGGGUGAUCGGCCACACUGGAACUGAGACACGGUCCAGACUCCUACGGGAGGCAGCAGUAGGGAAUCUUCGGCAAUGGGCGAAAGCUUGACGGAGCAACGCCGCGUGAGUGAUGAAGGUCUUCGGAUCGUAAAACUCUGUUAUUAGGGAAGAACAAAUGUGUAAGUAACUAUGCACGUCUUGACGGUACCUAAUCAGAAAGCCACGGCUAACUACGUG
This 497-nucleotide ribosomal RNA is filed under the name uncultured bacterium. RNAcentral's name for it is "partial 16S ribosomal RNA". It matches the Rfam family "Bacterial small subunit ribosomal RNA", at positions 28 to 507 of the family's 1533-position model. The record is from RNAcentral.